UACGUAGGACGCAAGCGUUAUCCGGAAUUAUUGGGCGUAAAGAGCUCGUAGGCGGUUUGUCGCGUCUGCUGUGAAAGACCGGGGCUCAACUCCGGUUCUGCAGUGGGUACGGGCAGACUAGAGUGCAGUAGGGGAGACUGGAAUUCCUGGUGUAGCGGUGAAAUGCGCAGAUAUCAGGAGGAACACCGAUGGCGAAGGCAGGUCUCUGGGCUGUAACUGACGCUGAGGAGCGAAAGCAUGGGGAGCGAACAGG
This 253-nucleotide ribosomal RNA is filed under the name uncultured bacterium. RNAcentral describes it as "partial 16S ribosomal RNA". It matches the Rfam family "Bacterial small subunit ribosomal RNA", at positions 524 to 776 of the family's 1533-position model. The record is from RNAcentral.